UUAGAAUACAUUUAUGGCUGGCUGAUGAGCUCACAAGGGCAGGCAGUAUGCUACAUGAGGCCUAACUCUACCACCACCACCACUGGGGUCUCUGGCCCAAUGAGUGGAGUUUGGUAGUAAUUCCUGCUGCAAGU
RNAcentral lists this small nucleolar RNA (134 nucleotides) under Mustela putorius furo (domestic ferret). Lineage: Eukaryota; Metazoa; Chordata; Mammalia; Carnivora; Mustelidae. The record is from RNAcentral.